UGCCUUACAAGCAGGGGGUCACAGGUUCGAGCCCUGUCGCGCCCA
Molecule: transfer RNA, 45 nt
Rfam family: tRNA
About the family: Transfer RNA (tRNA) molecules are approximately 80 nucleotides in length. Their secondary structure includes four short double-helical elements and three loops (D, anti-codon, and T loops).
Source: Rfam